CGGAGGAAAAGAAACCAACAGGGAUUGCCUCAGUAACGGCGAGUGAAGCGGCAAAAGCUCAAAUUUUAAAGCUGGCAUCUUCGGUGUCCGCGUUGUAAUUUUGUGAGGCAUCUCCGGGUAGGGCGCCGGCCUAAGUUCCUUGGAACAGGACGUCAUAGAGGGUGAGAAUCCCGUGCUUGGCUGGCUGUCCCCGUCCAUGUGAGGUGUCUUCGACGAGUCGAGUUGUUUGGGAAUGCAGCUCAAAAUGGGUGGUAAAUUUCAUCUAAAGCUAAAUAUUGGUGGGAGACCGAUAGCGCACAAGUAGAGUGAUCGAAAGAUGAAAAGCACUUUGAAAAUAGAGUUAAAAAGUACGUGAAAUUGUUGAAAGGGAAGCGCUUGAGACCAGACUUCGGUAGGGAGUGAUCAGCUGUCCUUCUGGGCGGUGCACUUGCUCCCCUCCGGGCCAGCAUCGGUUGGGACGGCGGGAUAAAGGUCCCGGGAAUGUGGCUCCUUUCGGGGAGUGUUAUAGCCCGGGUGAAUGCCGCCAGCCCCGACCGAGGACCGCGCCUUCGGGCUAGGAUGCUUGGCAUAAUGGUCUUCAGCGACCCGUCU
RNAcentral lists this ribosomal RNA (591 nucleotides) under Morchella diminutiva. RNAcentral describes it as "eukaryotic LSU rRNA". It matches the Rfam family "Eukaryotic large subunit ribosomal RNA", at positions 51 to 654 of the family's 3401-position model. The record is from RNAcentral. Lineage: Eukaryota; Fungi; Ascomycota; Pezizomycetes; Pezizales; Morchellaceae.